RNAcentral lists this ribosomal RNA (463 nucleotides) under uncultured bacterium. Its description in RNAcentral is "bacterial SSU rRNA". It matches the Rfam family "Bacterial small subunit ribosomal RNA", at positions 30 to 474 of the family's 1533-position model. The record is from RNAcentral.
AUUGAACGCUGGCGGAACGCUUUACACAUGCAAGUCGAACGGUAACGUGGGGAGGAGCUUGCUCCACCCCGACGACGAGUGGCGAACGGGUGAGUAAUACAUCGGAACGUGUCCGCUUGUGGGGGACAACCAGCCGAAAGGUUGGCUAAUACCGCAUGAGUUUUACGGAAGAAAGAGGGGGACCCGCAAGGGCCUCUCGCGAGCGGAGCGGCCGAUGACUGAUUAGCCUGUUGGUGAGGUAACGGCUCACCAAAGCAACGAUCAGUAGCUGGUCUGAGAGGACGACCAGCCACACUGGGACUGAGACACGGCCCAGACUCCUACGGGAGGCAGCAGUGGGGAAUUUUGGACAAUGGGCGCAAGCCUGAUCCAGCUAUUCCGCGUGUGGGAUGAAGGCCCUCGGGUUGUAAACCACUUUUGUAGAGAACGAAAAGACAUCUUCGAAUAAAGGAUGUUGCUGACG